GCGUAAUUAGUCUAGUGGUAAGUUACUUAUCUCACCUCCAAGCACUAGGGCUGGGUUCGAUUCCCAGAUUACGCA
Clonostachys byssicola is the source of this 75-nucleotide non-coding RNA. NCBI's taxonomy places the organism in Eukaryota, Fungi, Ascomycota, Sordariomycetes, Hypocreales, Bionectriaceae. The record is from the annotation of a GenBank genome assembly.